Molecule: transfer RNA, 69 nt
Filed under: Halcyon coromanda (ruddy kingfisher)
Lineage: Eukaryota; Metazoa; Chordata; Aves; Coraciiformes; Alcedinidae
Description: tRNA-Met
Rfam family: tRNA
About the family: Transfer RNA (tRNA) molecules are approximately 80 nucleotides in length.
Source: RNAcentral
GUAGGGUCAGCUAAAAAAAGCUAUUGGGCCCAUACCCCGAAAAUGAUGGUUUGACUCCUUCCCCUACUA